ACGGGGUGCAGCAGGCGCGAAAACUUCACACUGGGGGGAACCCCGAUGAGGGGAAACCCUAGUGCUAGGACAUUUGUUCUAGCUUUUCUCAAGCGUAGAUAACUUGAGGAAUAAGGGCUGGGUAAGACGGGUGCCAGCCGCCGCGGUAAUACCUGCAGCCCAAGUGGUGGUCGAUUUUAUUGAGUCUAAAACGUUCGUAGCCGGUUUGGUAAAUCUUUGGGUAAAUCGGGAGGCUCAACUUUCCGACUUCCGAAGAGACUGCCAAACUUGGGACCGGGAGAGGCUAGAGGUACUUCUGGGGUAGGGGUAAAAUCCUGUAAUCCUAGAAGGACCACCGGUGGCGAAGGCGUCUAGCUAGAACGGAUCCGACGGUGAGGGACGAAGCCCUGGGUCGCAAACGGGAUUAGAUACCCCGGUAGUCCAGGGUGUAAACGCUGCCGACUUGGUGUUGGGGACCCUUCGGGGGUGUUCAGUGCCGGAGAGAAGUUGUUAAGUCUGCUACUUGGGGAGUACGUCCGCAAGGAUGAAACUUAAAGGAAUUGGCGGGGGAGCAC
Molecule: ribosomal RNA, 554 nt
Filed under: uncultured archaeon
Lineage: Archaea
Description: bacterial SSU rRNA
Rfam family: Archaeal small subunit ribosomal RNA
Source: RNAcentral